AGAGCUCACGCCCAUCCCCUGUGCCUACACAGCAGGCAGCUCUCUGGCCUCUACUUCCUCUUCACAGCCAUCCCUAACUUGUUUGCUGCGCCCCAGACCAUUCAGUCUUGUCUUCACCCUUUAGAAUUUCUCUGGUUCCUGACGUACACAAGGGAUUGGUCAGAGGGAUGCACCAGAAGAAAUCCUACCACACAGAAGUUUUCUGUAAAAAAAAACGAGAUGGUGAAAUUUGAAUGCAGAAGUAACUGAUCUGUUCUGAACUUAUAAUGAUGAAAUAAUGGAACAGGAAAGAGGAUUCUGACUCCGGUGUUGAGGAAUGAGGCCCAGGAUCUGAAUUUUAUCCUUGAAAGGAGAGAAAUGCUGUGAAAAACAGGCCCGGCAUUUGCAGGAUGUGACUCUUAACUCCGACUCUUGUCAGCCGCGAAACUUUGAAGAAAGGAAAAAUGCAUUGGUCUAUUCAUAGUGUAACAAGAUGCUUUGCCAGAAGGUUGCCCUGGAGCUUUGAGCUCUUCUGAUUUGUAGUCCAUAGGUUUCCAGAGGAGAAUGCUUCCAACAAAGGACUCAACAGCAGCUCCAUUAGUUUGAAAGUUGAGACUGCCCACUCUGGCC
Molecule: long non-coding RNA, 609 nt
Filed under: Equus caballus (horse)
Lineage: Eukaryota; Metazoa; Chordata; Mammalia; Perissodactyla; Equidae
Description: lncRNA (ENSECAG00000055584.1)
Source: RNAcentral